UUGGUCAUUUAGAGGAAGUAAAAGUCGUAACAAGGUCUCCGUUGGUGAACCAGCGGAGGGAUCAUUAUCGAGUUAUUCAACUCCCAAACCCUAUGUGAACUUACCACUUGUUGCUUCGGCGCGCGCUUCGGCGCCGCCGAGGACACUUAAACUCUUUGUUUUUAUAAGCAUUUCUGAGUGGCCGAAAGGCAAAAAUACAAAUGAAUCAAAACUUUCAACAACGGAUCUCUUGGUUCUGGCAUCGAUGAAGAACGCAGCGAAAUGCGAUAAGUAAUGUGAAUUGCAGAAUUCAGUGAAUCAUCGAAUCUUUGAACGCACAUUGCGCCCGCCAGCAUUCUGGCGGGCAUGCCUGUUCGAGCGUCAUUUCAACCCUCGAGCCCGACUCUUUUGAGGACGGCUCGGCGUUGGGGGACGGCAGACUCCCCCCGGCAUCUCGCCGGGGACGCCGCCCCCGAAAUCUAGUGGCGGCCCUCCGAGGCGACCUCUGCGUAGUAACUUGUUCUCGCACCGGAAAGCUCAGAGCGGCCACGCCGUAAAACCCCAACUUUUUUCAGGUUGACCUCGAAUCAGGUAGGACUUGGUCAUUUAGAGGAAGUAAAAGUCG
This 604-nucleotide ribosomal RNA is filed under the name uncultured fungus. Its description in RNAcentral is "eukaryotic LSU rRNA". The stretch from base 210 to 363 matches the Rfam family "5.8S ribosomal RNA". Lineage: Eukaryota; Fungi. The record is from RNAcentral.